AACAAAACAUGGGUUCUGGUGGAAUGGAGGGAGGAGCCUCCCACCUAUGAUAUUGUCCCUAAAAAGGACAUACUAAAAAAAAGUUUGAACCUGGAGAUGUUGUGGAUGUGGUUUAUGAAGAGGAAAGUUCCCCAGCCACAGUUAUAGAUAUUGAUGAGAGCAAAGAAACCCUCAGGAGGAGGAUGUUCAGGCUAGAGGGGAAAAGAAAAAGUCAGCCAUGUUUGCAAAAUGAUGCAAAAAGAGUGGCAAAGAAAAAAAAAACUUACACUCCAACUCAGUCCCCAUCUCACUCAUCAUCUGAUCAAGAGCCUCUGGUCAAACAUCAAGUCAUCCACAGAAAGGAUAGUAUUUUAAUGCAGGAAAUAAACAACAUGGACAGUCAAGCUGGA
Xyrauchen texanus (razorback sucker) is the source of this 389-nucleotide long non-coding RNA. RefSeq lists it as uncharacterized. The record is from RefSeq and is a predicted model, not a curated record. The transcript is spliced from 3 exons. Lineage: Eukaryota; Metazoa; Chordata; Actinopteri; Cypriniformes; Catostomidae.